This 497-nucleotide ribosomal RNA is filed under the name Glycera capitata. RNAcentral's name for it is "partial 16S ribosomal RNA". It matches the Rfam family "Bacterial large subunit ribosomal RNA", at positions 1829 to 2597 of the family's 2925-position model. Lineage: Eukaryota; Metazoa; Annelida; Polychaeta; Phyllodocida; Glyceridae. The record is from RNAcentral.
AGCCUCAUGAUAAAUGAUAUGAGGUACUUCCUGCCCGGUGACAUAUAAACGGCCGCAGUAUCCUAACUGUGCAAAGGUAGCAUAAUAACUUGCCUUUUAAUUGGAGGCUGGUAUGAAUGGAGCUACGUAAAUAAAGCUGUCUCUGUUAUACAAACAAAAACUAGCCCUUAAGUGAAAAUUCUUAAAUUAAAAUAAAGGACAAAAAGACCCUAUAGAGCUGUAUUCGUAAUAACAUCCAAAGCACUACACACUUUCUAUAUUAAAAACGAAUUUUGCUGGGGCGGCAAAGGAAUAUUUAAAUCUUCCUUAAAUUUAAAGACACCGAAUCUUAAAAAUGAUCCUAAAAAGAUCACAGAAAAAAGCUACCUUAGGGAUAACAGACUAAUCUUCCUAAAGAGUUCAAAUUGACAGGAAGGAUUGGCACCUCGAUGUUGGCUUAAGAUACCCUUUGAGUGCAGAAGCCCAAAAAGGUUGGUUUGUUCAACCAUUAAAAUCUU